CUUCUCAUCACAAUGGAAAGAUAUAAAGAGGCGUUAUUACCCUUGUCCUGCCAGUGUGUCGAGUGCCUGUCCUGGGAAUACUUCUAGAUAUUUGUAUACAUACAAAGUAGUGACAAAACAUAUUGUUUUCCUGCCGCCAAGACGAACAACAAGAAACCUAGCGUAGGAUUUACAGGUACAACGAAGGCAAGCAAUGAUGGCAGAUUACACAGGCAUUUGGUGGCGGGUGAUGGCACUGAUCCUGGCACUGUCAGUUAUGACCUCCGCCCAAAGGACCAAGAGCUGCGACGUGCAGGGAUCCGUCGCCGCCAGUAACAAGGUGGACGUGCACUGUGACUGUAUGCAGCGGCUGACUCAGAUGAACUUGGCCAUCGCUCACCUGACCAUCAACCAGACGUCUUGUUCUAACUCUGGGCUAGAGCUGAGGUGGCCUGACCUGGAGGCUCUGGUGUCUCCUGACACCUUCACCGUCGUCGGCGCCCACAUCUACUUCUCCCAAAGCCAACCCAACACUACGUGGAACUCCAGCAUCUCUAGACUUUAUUUCAUCGAUUCGACAUUCGAAAUGCUGCCAGCUCACGCCUUUAGAGGGAUGGGACUGCUUGAGGAGGUCAAGUUCUUCGGUGGGUCCAUCGUUACAAUCAGGUCAAAUGCUUUUAGUGGACUACAGAAACUUAAGCUUAUUGAGAUUGCUAACAGUACCGUUGAGACGAUCGAACGUGAGGCCUUUAACAAUCUGGAGUCGCUCGAGGACCUGGCCUUCGUGCACACCAGCAUAGGCAUCAUCGAGAGCGAGGCUGUGUCACUGCUAAAGCAAAACAAAGCGGAGGUGCGCUGUGUAACCCUCGGCACGCGUCCCUCUGGCUCUGGCAGCGUCAUCCAGGACCUCAUGGGCCGUCAACUGACCUCCACGGGUAACAUAUCUCUCCCCGAGUACGGCUCGCGCCUCCUACUCCUUAAGAACAAUAUCAAGACCUUAAAAUCCCGCGCUAUAACCUCCGAGACUCUUGGUUUCCUCAUUGUUGGUGGGAAUCACAUCGAGAACGUAGAGUCUCUGGCAUUUUCCAUGGAGCUGUACAACGAGUGUGAGAUCAGUGCUGCGCUUUUUGUCGGUAAUACUUUCAAUUAUCUGGGGAACUCCGCCCUGGCAGGCUUGAAGGGACGUGAUGGGGUAUCUUACCAGACCUUCAUCGCCCUAGCCCAAAAUACUUUCUUGAAUGUGACUCAACAAGGGUUCCUCUUGUCUCAGAACCUCGUAAUUUUCACUGUCGACGAAAAUAAGUUCCGUUGCGUCUGUGAUGGUUUCAACUGGAUCCUUAGCAACCCCGACUCUCAGAACCAACAAGAAUUAGAAAAAGAAUUAGUUUUAAAGGCAACAUGUAUAGAUGGCACUUACCUCAUCUCCUACACUUCGUCCUGCACAGACCACGGAACGGUCACCACUCCAAGCGCUCGCCCACCAGUGAUGGAAACCAGCGGUGCCUCAACUAUGUCCUUCUUCAGUGUCAGCACCAGUGUCAUCACCUUCGUCUUGGCCAGGACACUUAACUGAGGCCGCUGUCACACUUACUCUCAGGUACUUCUCGCGCCUCUACCAAUCAGAAGCCUCGUGUUAUGACGCCAGAAUCCGGCGGCCGGACCACAACAUUGAACCACGCCCUCCUUAUUUAUAAGUGAUAUGUAAAAGCGACUAAUAAUAUUUAUAAUGUUGAUUUAUUUAUUUAUACUCUGAUAUUUAUAUUCUUAAUAAAAGUAUGAAAAAAUA
Molecule: unclassified non-coding RNA, 1765 nt
Filed under: Homarus americanus (American lobster)
Lineage: Eukaryota; Metazoa; Arthropoda; Malacostraca; Decapoda; Nephropidae
Description: carboxypeptidase N subunit 2-like, transcript variant X2
Source: RNAcentral